This 200-nucleotide ribosomal RNA is filed under the name uncultured bacterium. RNAcentral's name for it is "partial 16S ribosomal RNA". It matches the Rfam family "Bacterial small subunit ribosomal RNA", at positions 30 to 242 of the family's 1533-position model. The record is from RNAcentral.
AUUGAACGCUGGCGGCAGGCCUAACACAUGCAAGUCGAGCGGGGUUUUCGGACCUAGCGGCGGACGGGUGAGUAAUGCGUAGGAAGCUGCCCGAUAGAGGGGGAUACCAGUAGGAAACGACUGUUAAUACCGCAUAAUGUCUACGGACCAAAGUGUGGGACCUUCGGGCCACAUGCUAUCGGAUGCGCCUACGUGGGAUU